Molecule: ribosomal RNA, 506 nt
Filed under: uncultured Glomeraceae
Lineage: Eukaryota; Fungi; Glomeromycota; Glomeromycetes; Glomerales; Glomeraceae
Description: SSU rRNA
Rfam family: Eukaryotic small subunit ribosomal RNA
Source: RNAcentral
AGCAGCCGCGGUAAUUCCAGCUCCAGUAGCGUAUAUUAAAGUUGUUGCAGUUAAAAAGCUCGUAGUUGAAUUUCGAGACCGGUUUAUUGGUCGUACUUUUGUACGUACUGGUAUUAUUGGUUUCUCCUUUCUGACGAAUCUUAAUGCCAUUAAUUUGGUGUUUUGGGGAAUCAGGACUGUUACUUUGAAAAAUUAGAGUGUUUAAAGCAGGCUCACGCUUGGAUACAUUAGCAUGGAAUAACGGAAUAGGACGUUUGAUUCUAUUUUGUUGGUUUCUAGGAUCGACGUAAUGAUUAAUAGGGAUAGUUGGGGGCAUUAGUAUUCAAUUGUCAGAGGUGAAAUUCUUGGAUUUAUUGAAGACUAACUACUGCGAAAGCAUUUGCCAAGGAUGUUUUCAUUAAUCAAGAACGGAAGUUAGGGGAUCGAAGACGAUCAGAUACCGUCGUAGUCUUAACCAUAAACUAUGCCGACUAGGGAUCGGAUGAUGUUAAUUUUUUAAUGACUCA